Molecule: non-coding RNA, 73 nt
Organism: Pangasius djambal
Lineage: Eukaryota; Metazoa; Chordata; Actinopteri; Siluriformes; Pangasiidae
Source: the annotation of a GenBank genome assembly
GGGGUACAGUGGCUCAGUGGUUAGAACGCCUGCCCUUCAUCCCUGGCACCGGGGUUCGAAUCCCACCUCCCCG